UUCGGUUCUAGCGGCGGACGGGUGAGUAACGCGUGGGAACGUGCCCUUUGCUACGGAAUAGUCCCGGGAAACUGGGUUUAAUACCGUAUGUGCCCCUUGGCCUUGGCGGUCUUGGGGGAAAGAUUUAUCGGCAAAGGAUCGGCCCGCGUUGGAUUAGGUAGUUGGUGGGGUAAUGGCUCACCAAGCCGACGAUCCAUAGCUGGUUUGAGAGGAUGAUCAGCCACACUGGGACUGAGACACGGCCCAGACUCCUACGGGAGGCAGCAGUGGGGAAUCUUAGACAAUGGGGGCAACCCUGAUCUAGCCAUGCCGCGUGAGUGAUGAAGGCCUUAGGGUUGUAAAGCUCUUUCAGCUGGGAAGAUAAUGACGGUACCAGCAGAAGAAGCCCCGGCUAACUCCGUGCCAGCAGCCGCGGUAAUACGGAGGGGGCUAGCGUUGUUCGGAAUUACUGGGCGUAAAGCGCACGUAGGCGGACUGGAAAGUCAGAGGUGAAAUCCCAGGGCUCAACCUUGGAACUGCCUUUGAAAC
RNAcentral lists this ribosomal RNA (528 nucleotides) under bacterium. RNAcentral's name for it is "bacterial SSU rRNA". It matches the Rfam family "Bacterial small subunit ribosomal RNA", at positions 85 to 633 of the family's 1533-position model. The record is from RNAcentral.